CUUGCUUCUCGCCGGCGACCGGCGCACGGGUGAGUAACACGUAUGGAACCUGCCCGCCACAGGGGGAUAACCCGGGGAAACCCGGCCUAAUACCCCAUGCCGCCCGGACCGGGCAUCCGGUCCGGGCGAAAGGAGGAAUCCGGUGGCGGCUGGGCAUGCGGCGCAUUAGCUUGACGGCGGGGUAACGGCCCACCGUGGCGACGAUGCGUAGGGGUUCUGAGAGGAAGGCCCCCCACACUGGAACCGAGACACGGUCCAGACUCCUACGGAAGGCAGCAG
This 279-nucleotide ribosomal RNA is filed under the name uncultured bacterium. RNAcentral's name for it is "partial 16S ribosomal RNA". It matches the Rfam family "Bacterial small subunit ribosomal RNA", at positions 79 to 354 of the family's 1533-position model. The record is from RNAcentral.